AAAUUUGAGAUUUAUUGAAAUGGAAUUUUAUGCUUGUUUUGGUGAUUAAUUUUUGAAUAUAUGGACCUUAUUCAUGAUAAAUGUGUUAUAAUGAUGAUUUGAGAUACAUAUGGGAUUGACCAUUUGUCCUAUCUUUGGUAACAACAAAGAGGGUUGUUCUAAGGAGUUCCAACUUUAAAGAAUAUUUCAAUGGUCAAAUUCGAGUAUAAUAGACCUUUGGUCGAAUAUGUUGUUGAACCCCCACUGGGUUCUGGAUGUGAAAUAGCUAUAGAUAUGGGAUUGAUAUAAAGAUAUGAUGAUCAUAAAUGA
RNAcentral lists this long non-coding RNA (309 nucleotides) under Carica papaya (papaya). RNAcentral's name for it is "long non-coding RNA (CPAP_LNC011589)". Lineage: Eukaryota; Viridiplantae; Streptophyta; Magnoliopsida; Brassicales; Caricaceae. The record is from RNAcentral.